RNAcentral lists this unclassified non-coding RNA (247 nucleotides) under air metagenome. Its description in RNAcentral is "partial contains small subunit ribosomal RNA, internal transcribed spacer 1, and 5.8S ribosomal RNA". The stretch from base 1 to 46 matches the Rfam family "Eukaryotic small subunit ribosomal RNA", at positions 1786 to 1831 of the family's 1831-position model. The record is from RNAcentral.
AAGUCGUAACAAGGUUUCCGUAGGUGAACCUGCGGAAGGAUCAUUAAUGAAUUUGGGUGCUCCUUGAGAGGCCCGACCUUCAUCUUUCCACCCUGUGCACUAUUUUUUUUUGUAAUCUUUGUAGAGACGUUUAAUCACCUCUCGCUAAUACAAUUUUUACAAUCAAUUUUUAAACUCUAUAAAAGUCUAAGAAUGUUACAAAGUUAUAAACCAAAUAAAACUUUCAACAACGGAUCUCUUGGCUCUC